UACGGAGGAUGCAAGCGUUAUCCGGAUUUAUUGGGUUUAAAGGGUGCGUAGGCGGGGCUUUAAGUCAGUGGUGAAAUCUUGCAGCUUAACUGUAAAAUUGCCAUUGAUACUGAAGUUCUUGAGUGCGGUUGAAGUAGGCGGAAUGUGUAAUGUAGCGGUGAAAUGCUUAGAGAUUACACAGAACACCGAUUGCGUAGGCAGCUUACUAAGCCGUAACUGACGCUGAGGCACGAAAGUGUGGGGAU
RNAcentral lists this ribosomal RNA (245 nucleotides) under uncultured Prolixibacteraceae bacterium. RNAcentral's name for it is "partial 16S ribosomal RNA". It matches the Rfam family "Bacterial small subunit ribosomal RNA", at positions 524 to 768 of the family's 1533-position model. Lineage: Bacteria; Pseudomonadati; Bacteroidota; Bacteroidia; Marinilabiliales; Prolixibacteraceae. The record is from RNAcentral.